Long non-coding RNA from Cucumis melo (muskmelon), 564 nucleotides. RefSeq lists it as uncharacterized. NCBI's taxonomy places the organism in Eukaryota, Viridiplantae, Streptophyta, Magnoliopsida, Cucurbitales, Cucurbitaceae. The transcript is spliced from 3 exons. The record is from RefSeq and is a predicted model, not a curated record.
AGUUCUGUAUUCACAGAACCGAAACCGAGAGGAGGAGAAAAAGAAAGGAGAAGAAGAAGAAGUCGCCGCCAUCCUUUUGUUCCGCCGCCGUCCGUCGCCGACCGCCUCGCCGUUGUUCCUCGUCGCCGUCUGCCACUUUAGCCAUUAUGUCAUAUCGACGAUCAACUUUUAUGGAGACGGACGAUAUGUUCCUCCAGUUUGAGGACGAUUUAGAUAAUAACAUCGCGGGAGGGUCAUCAUCUGUGGGCGACAAUACGGAGUCUUCUUCUCAACAAACGACUCCGACUCCUAGGAGACGUGCGCAGUCUCGACUCUUGGAGUUAGAGCGCCACGUUGCAAUAAAUGGGCGCAUUCCGAUGACGAUCGCCCCUGGAGCAGAGAAGCCUAUUUCUCCACACGCCGUUCGCUUCAGCCAGGCGAUAGGCGUGUGCGUGCGAAAGACAUUUCCCGUCCGCUGUCUUAAGUGGACGGACGUUGGGAGAGAAUACAUUGAGGUCGUCAAGGGCGACCUCCAGGUAAUUAAAUGCACUACACAUUUAUAUAUGAUUUCAUUUGAAACAUAUC